Molecule: ribosomal RNA, 792 nt
Filed under: uncultured bacterium
Lineage: Bacteria
Description: bacterial SSU rRNA
Rfam family: Bacterial small subunit ribosomal RNA
Source: RNAcentral
AGAGUUUGAUCCUGGCUCAGGAUGAACGCUAGCGGCAGGCCUAAUACAUGCAAGCUGAACGGUAACUCUGUUAGCAAUAAUGGAGCUAGAGUAGCGUAAGGGUGUGUAACACGUAUGCAAUCUGCCCGCAACAGGAGGAUAGCUUGAUGAAAGUUGAGAUAAGACUCCAUAACACCAUUUGAGGGCAUCUGAGGAUGGUUAAACUACCAGGGGUUGCGGAUGAGCAUGCGCAUGAUUAGUUAGUUGGCGGGGUAACGGCCCACCAAGACAAUGAUCAUUAGGGGAACUGAGAGGUUGGUCCCCCACACUGGCACUGAGAUACGGGCCGGACUCCUACGGGAGGCAGCAGUAGGGAAUAUUGGACAAUGGGUGCAAGCCUGAUCCAGCCAUGCCGCGUGCAGGAAGAAAGCCUUCUGGGUUGUAAACUGCUUUUUUCUGGGGAUAAAAUACCCGUGCGCGGGGAAUUGAAAGUACCAGGAGAAUAAGCCACGGCUAACUACGUGCCAGCAGCCGCGGUAAUACGUAGGUGGCAAGCGUUGUCCGGAUUUAUUGGGUUUAAAGGGUGCGUAGGCGGUUUUUUAAGUCAGUGGUGAAAUCCGGCAGCUCAACUGUCGAUGUGCCAUUGAUACUGGGAAACUUGAGUACUGAUGAGGUAGGCGGAAUGGACGGUGUAGCGGUGAAAUGCUUAGAGAUCGUCCAGAACACCGAUAGCGAAGGCAGCUUACUAAGGAGUAACUGACGCUGAGGCACGAAAGUGUGGGGAUCGAACAGGAUUAGAUACCCUGGUAGUCC